Cyprinus carpio carpio is the source of this 394-nucleotide long non-coding RNA. Lineage: Eukaryota; Metazoa; Chordata; Actinopteri; Cypriniformes; Cyprinidae. The record is from Ensembl.
CCUCUUGCCCUGAAAACCGCAUCUGACCACCAGGACCUCAGGGAAACCAUGGCCUGAUGGAGGAAUAAAGAGAGUGAGAGAGACAGAGAGAGGUGGAGAGGCUUUGGCCCCACAGCAGCUGAUGGUGGCUCAGAAAGAGAGUCAAUUAUAGGGCUAUAAAGGUCUCUUUAGCCCAGAGACGGGCCGCCUGUGUCGGGGGGAAGCUGAAAGCUAACGUGAUUACCGGAGUGGAGCAACUAGCAGCACACAGGAGACACACAGGAAAACUGUAUACAUGCCUCUGGAGGUUAGCGUUGACAGAUCUAUGUCCUGACUACAUCCUUUUUCUGGUCACCCUUAUAUAAGGCUUGUACCCCCACACCAGCUUCGGCUUCCGCUCUUAAUGAGAUCCAAU